GCAAAUUAUUAAUUGAAGCUUGAAGAGAAGCAAUUCAAGAUGAAAAUUGAAGGACAGGAAUCUACGUAUGCAGUAAAAGAUAAAAACCAUAGGCCUUCAUCCCAUUUCCUCUACAAGUCGUAAGGGAUGGAAACUCUUGAAGUCUUUGCACCUGCAGACUUCAGUCUUGAACAAUUCAAGAGCAAGUACAUGGGACGGAUCAUAAAGACUGGAAAGAAAAAGGGCAGAUGAUAAAGUCAAAGUCAAAAUGAAAAAAAAAAAAUGAUGGAAGCCGCUUUUUGUGGUUUGUGUUUGUUGUUUUUUAGUUAUAAAACAGAAAAUGAAAAUAAAAAACAAGUGCUCCAACCAAUUUUAUUUUAUUUUUAAGAAAAAAAAAUGCAAAUUACAAAAACGCAACCAUCCCAAAUGCACCCUUAGUCAUCCCAUUUUACAGUUAGUAAUCUUUGGACGGGAUUGGACAACGUGCAAAAAUAAUGAUAACACUUUUAUCCUGUAUUAUGGUUGGAGUAUAAUAAGGGUGUAAAAGAACCAAACUGCUCGCGAGCUACUCGAGACUCGGCUCGAUAAAAAUUCAGCUUGGUUUAGUUUGUUUUCUAAAUAAGCCAAGCUCGAACUCGAAUUUUAGACUCGUUUAAUAAACAAGCCGAGCUCGAGCUCAUUAGUAUUUGGCUCAAGCUCGAGUUCGAGCUCGGCUCGUUUAUAAACUCGCGAGUCAGCUCGUUAAACGGACUCCUAAGGCUCGUUGAAUAGGCUUGUAAUAAAGCUCAUAAACAGGCUCAUUUAUAAGUUUGUGAGCUUACUAGUUUACAAAAACAUUUAUAU
This 822-nucleotide unclassified non-coding RNA is filed under the name Hevea brasiliensis (rubber tree). The record is from RNAcentral. Lineage: Eukaryota; Viridiplantae; Streptophyta; Magnoliopsida; Malpighiales; Euphorbiaceae.